UAAUCCAAGGGGCUGGGACGAGUGAACUUGUUCACGUAGCAAUCGGAAGUGGUUCCAAGAAAAGCCUCUAAGCUUCAGUCAUACGAGACCGUACCGCAAACCGACACAGGUGGGCGAGAUGAGUAUUCUAAGGCGCUUGAGAGAACUCGGGAGAAGGAACUCGGCAAAUUGGUACCGUAACUUCGGGAAAAGGUACGCCCUUGUAGCUUGGCUGAUUUACUUCAGUAGGGCGAACGGGUUGCAAUAAACUGGUGGCUGCGACUGUUUAAUAAAAACACAGCACUCUGCAAACACGAAAGUGGACGUAUAGGGUGUGACGCCUGCCCGGUGCUGGAAGAUUAAAUGAUGGGGUGCAAGCUCUUGAUUGAAGUCCCAGUAAACGGCGGCCGUAACUAUAACGGUCCUAAGGUAGCGAAAUUCCUUGUCGGGUAAGUUCCGACCUGCACGAAUGGCGUAACGAUGGCCACACUGUCUCCUCCCGAGACUCAGCGAAGUUGAAAUGUUUGUGAUGAUGCAAUCUACCCGCGGCUAGACGGAAAGACCCCAUGAACCUUUACUGUAGCUUUGCAUUGGACUUUGAACCAAUCUGUGUAGGAUAGGUGGGAGGCUUUGAAGCGGGGACGCCAGUUCUCGUGGAGCCAACCUUGAAAUACCACCCUGGUUUGUUUGAGGUUCUAACCUUGGUCCGUUAUCCGGAUCGGGGACAGUGCAUGGUAGGCAGUUUGACUGGGGCGGUCUCCUCCUAAAGUGUAACGGAGGAGUUCGAAGGUACGCUAAUUACGGUCGGACAUCGUGAUGAUAGUGCAAUGGCAUAAGCGUGCUUAACUGCGAGACUGACAAGUCGAGCAGGUACGAAAGUAGGACAUAGUGAUCCGGUGGUUCUGUAUGGAAGGGCCAUCGCUCAACGGAUAAAAGGUACUCUGGGGAUAACAGGCUGAUUCCUCCCAAGAGUUCAUAUCGACGGGGGAGUUUGGCACCUCGAUGUCGGCUCAUCACAUCCUGGGGCUGUAGCCGGUCCCAAGGGUAUGGCUGUUCGCCAUUUAAAGUGGUACGUGAGCUGGGUUUAAAACGUCGUGAGACAGUUUGGUCCCUAUCUGCCGUGGGCGUUGGAAAUUUGAAGGGGGCUGCUCCUAGUACGAGAGGACCGGAGUGGAC
RNAcentral lists this ribosomal RNA (1155 nucleotides) under Duganella alba. RNAcentral's name for it is "partial 23S ribosomal RNA". It matches the Rfam family "Bacterial large subunit ribosomal RNA", at positions 1552 to 2702 of the family's 2925-position model. The record is from RNAcentral. Lineage: Bacteria; Pseudomonadati; Pseudomonadota; Betaproteobacteria; Burkholderiales; Oxalobacteraceae.